AGUGGGGAAUCUUGGACAAUGGGCGCAAGCCUGAUCCAGCCAUGCCGCGUGAGUGAAGAAGGCCUUAGGGUUGUAAAGCUCUUUUGCCAGGGACGAUAAUGACGGUACCUGGAGAAUAAGCCCCGGCAAACUUCGUGCCAGCAGCCGCGGUAAUACGAAGGGGGCUAGCGUUGUUCGGAUUUACUGGGCGUAAAGCGCACGUAGGCGGAUUGUUAAGUCAGGGGUGAAAUCCCGGAGCUCAACUCCGGAACUGCCUUUGAUACUGGCGACCUUGAGGCUGGAAGAGGUUAGUGGAAUUCCCAGUGUAGAGGUGAAAUUCGUAGAUAUUGGGAAGAACACCAGUGGCGAAGGCGGCUAACUGGUCCAGAUCUGACGCUGAGGUGCGAAAGCGUGGGGAGCAAA
RNAcentral lists this ribosomal RNA (402 nucleotides) under Aestuariivirgaceae bacterium. RNAcentral's name for it is "bacterial SSU rRNA". It matches the Rfam family "Bacterial small subunit ribosomal RNA", at positions 353 to 772 of the family's 1533-position model. Lineage: Bacteria; Pseudomonadati; Pseudomonadota; Alphaproteobacteria; Hyphomicrobiales; Aestuariivirgaceae. The record is from RNAcentral.